RNAcentral lists this ribosomal RNA (460 nucleotides) under uncultured bacterium. RNAcentral's name for it is "partial 16S ribosomal RNA". It matches the Rfam family "Bacterial small subunit ribosomal RNA", at positions 338 to 795 of the family's 1533-position model. The record is from RNAcentral.
CCUACGGGAGGCUGCAGUGAGGAAUAUUGGUCAAUGGACGAGAGUCUGAACCAGCCAAGUAGCGUGAAGGAUGACUGCCCUAUGGGUUGUAAACUUCUUUUAUAAAGGAAUAAAACGAGGCACGUGUGCCUUUUUGCAUGUACUUUAUGAAUAAGGAUCGGCUAACUCCGUGCCAGCAGCCGCGGUAAUACGGAGGAUCCGAGCGUUAUCCGGAUUUAUUGGGUUUAAAGGGAGCGUAGAUGGGUUGUUAAGUCAGUUGUGAAAGUUUGCGGCUCAACCGUAAAAUUGCAAUUGAUACUGGCAGCCAUGAGUACAGUUGAGGUAGGCGGAAUUCGUGGUGUAGCGGUGAAAUGCUUAGAUAUCACGAAGAACCCCGAUUGCGAAGGCAGCUUACUAAACUGUGACUGACAUUGAUGCUCGAAAGUGUGGGUAUCAAACAGGAUUAGAUACCCGAGUAGUC